Bactrocera latifrons is the source of this 375-nucleotide long non-coding RNA. RefSeq lists it as uncharacterized. NCBI's taxonomy places the organism in Eukaryota, Metazoa, Arthropoda, Insecta, Diptera, Tephritidae. The record is from RefSeq and is a predicted model, not a curated record. The transcript is spliced from 2 exons.
UUUCAUAUUCAUUGCACAAAUCAAGAAUAUUUCUAGCUAGAACCUAGCCAAGUGUAUAAAAAGCACUCAUAAACGUUAGGGCAACCAUUGCACUUGCAACUCUUGCAAUAUGAAUUUCCAACUGCUCAUCGGCUUCAUGCUGGCCUUACUCGCUGUGGCUUUUGCCAAUCCCAAUCCUUUGCCAAAUCCUGAGCCUUAUCCAGGAGGAGGUGGCGGUGGCGGCGGCGGCGGCGGCGGAGGUGGUGGUGGUGGCGGUGGUGGCAAGUGAGCAGCACAGCUCGCCACAAACUGUUAAGGAUCUAAGCAAACUGUAAACUUGUAUACGAUAAAUAAAAGUGAAUUAAACGGUGAAACGUGAGUUCACUAGAGUGAGAA